AUGUGGAUGGAUAAAAGUUGCUGGAAAUAUGAGCAUUUUCCCGAGUCAAAGAAAAAUGACGAGGCGGAGUCUCAAGGGAGCAUUGAUAUGCUUAAGCUGUUCAACUUGAAGCCAGCUUUGCCAACCACUUUCCCCAUGCCAGAUUUUAGUGACCAAGAGAUGUGUCAGAACAUCAACUUUGCCAUUGAUCAGAAGUUGUUCUUAUUAAGCGAGGGUGAAAAGAAUCAAGUUGACAUGGAGGAAGCAGGAAAGGGUCUGGACUGGGUUCAUUCGGAGGCAAAAUACAAGGAAUAUUUGAAGCAGCUUCCAGAUAUAAGCUCCAGCAAGAGCAAGGCAGCAUCCGUGGCAAACCCUCAUGUGGUACAGAAGCACAAAGCAGUUUCAAUGAAGAAGAAUAUGAAGUUGCCUCAAAUCCAGCAACAGAUGUUGAGGGCAGAUGCUGAAAUAAAUGCGGGGAAGGAAGCUGUCGCGCCAACUGUUGUGCCAACUGUAGUGAGCAGAGAGCCAACCAACACUCAAGAUGUGACAUCAAUACAUGUUGAGCCUACAACCAUGACAGGAGUUCAACAGAUCAAGGGGAAGACUCCUAUGUCAGCACGCCCACCUAAACCAGCUAAGCAACAAAAGAUUCUCAAGUUUGCCAAGGGCACAAAGGGGGAACAUGGCACAAAAGGUGUGGGGUUCAGACACGAGACAGAACAAUGUGCCACAGCCAUCGAUGCAGGAGUGCCAAGUUCAGCUAGAUUGCUGCCAACUGAGGCUGGAAAGAUUCCAACUACAGAUACUACUGUACCAACUGAAGUGUCAAUUAGCAGCGGGGUCAUAGUCAAAACUACCACUCUACUUAGGAAGGCACCACUACAACUGCAAGCCCCAAGGUGCCAACUCAUAUAG
This 894-nucleotide ribosomal RNA is filed under the name Triticum aestivum (bread wheat). Its description in RNAcentral is "partial small subunit ribosomal RNA". The record is from RNAcentral. Lineage: Eukaryota; Viridiplantae; Streptophyta; Magnoliopsida; Poales; Poaceae.